UCUUCUUCGUCUCACUUCUUCUGUUGAAUUCGCGUGUGAGAGAGAGAGAGAGAGACGAAUGAGAGUGAUAGAAAUUCGUGAAUCUUGUUGUGGAGAAUUGAUGAAUUCUGAUAUUGCAGAGUGAUGGAGGUCGAGUUGUGAGGUUGAGAGAGAGCUUGUGAUUUCUGAUACGUAAUGCUUGAAUGAUUGAAAAGCUUCUGAGUUUAUUCAUUUGCAGAAUGAUGUGUGAUAUAUAUAGAUCGAAGAACUCACAACGUUAAUACUCUGUUAAUCUUUUGUAGUUCAAGACAGUUGGAGAUCCGAUUCCGUUAGUGACUCUGUUAGCAUGAAGCGGUUAGGUUGGAUGUGUUAUGACUUUCUGUCAGCCUUUAGUUACCGAUAGUUAGUUAAACUUUGAACUGCUAAACCAUUACAGGAUAGUAUUAAUUCUACAGGUUAAAAUUUGAUGCAGCUUGGUUGCAGGACGGUGCGGCCGGAUUGUGUGAUGGAUGAAAGAAAACAAGUCUAUUUGAAUGUAAAAUUAGGAGUUAGGAUUUGGGAAUUGAAUUUGUUAGAAGUAUUGAUGUAUAAAUUUUGAACAAGUUAUAUAUCAUAGAAAAAUUGAAUGUAAAAAAUUGGGUUGUGACAUGAAUACAAUUUGAAUAGAAACUUUAUUAAAAAUAUGAAAAUGGAUUGAAAUGGUUGAAUGUUUUGAUUUGGAAAAAGAACCUGAGUUAUGGUUGGAUUAUGUAAUGAAUUAAUGUUGUAUGGAGAGUUAAUUAUGAAUGAAAGUUUGAAUGGUGUAUUGAUUGUA
This is a long non-coding RNA of Lathyrus oleraceus (garden pea), 793 nucleotides long. RefSeq lists it as uncharacterized. The record is from RefSeq and is a predicted model, not a curated record. Lineage: Eukaryota; Viridiplantae; Streptophyta; Magnoliopsida; Fabales; Fabaceae. The transcript is spliced from 3 exons.